This 72-nucleotide transfer RNA is filed under the name Camelus bactrianus (Bactrian camel). It matches the Rfam family "tRNA". Rfam says of the family: Transfer RNA (tRNA) molecules are approximately 80 nucleotides in length. RNAcentral also lists the same sequence under 2 other names. Lineage: Eukaryota; Metazoa; Chordata; Mammalia; Artiodactyla; Camelidae. The record is from Rfam by way of RNAcentral.
GGGAGUAUAGCUUAAUGGUAGAGUACAUGUUUAGUAGGCACGAGGCCCUGGAUUCAGUCUCCAGUACCUCCA